Non-coding RNA from Pelobates cultripes (western spadefoot toad), 282 nucleotides. NCBI's taxonomy places the organism in Eukaryota, Metazoa, Chordata, Amphibia, Anura, Pelobatidae. The record is from the annotation of a GenBank genome assembly.
AUGAAUUCACCUCUCCAAAUUUUAUCUUUUGCUUUCAAGUGACACCCCAGCGGCCCGGCAAAAGAAAUGUGCACGUUUUACCACGCCACGUCCACUAUCUCACCAUGCCUUACUACCUGGUCUCCUGACCCUUCCGCUCCCCCGGGUACUGCUGCCCCCUCAUCUACUUCGCCGACGCUCAAACUGCGCGCCUCCUACACCCCUUGCUCCUUUUCUUUUCCGCCCUCUGGUGACCAUACCCUUACAAACCGCGGAGAUGACCCCUCUUCACCCGUCCAUGAC